CUAUACAUGCAAGUCGAACGCACUCUCGUUUAGAUUGAAGGAGCUUGCUCCUGAUUGAUAAACAUUUGAGUGAGUGGCGGACGGGUGAGUAACACGUGGGUAACCUGCCCUAAAGUGGGGGAUAACAUUUGGAAACAGAUGCUAAUACCGCAUAAAACCUAACACCGCAUGGUGUAGGGUUGAAAGAUGGUUUCGGCUAUCACUUUAGGAUGGACCCGCGGUGCAUUAGUUAGUUGGUGAGGUAAAGGCUCACCAAGACCGUGAUGCAUAGCCGACCUGAGAGGGUAAUCGGCCACACUGGGACUGAGACACGGCCCAGACUCCUACGGGAGGCAGCAGUAGGGAAUCUUCCACAAUGGACGAAAGUCUGAUGGAGCAACGCCGCGUGAGUGAAGAAGGUUUUCGGAUCGUAAAACUCUGUUGUUGGAGAAGAAUGUAUCUGAUAGUAACUGAUCAGGUAGUGACGGUAUCCAACCAGAAAGCCACGGCUAACUACGUGCCAGCAGCCGCGGUAAUACGUAGGUGGCAAGCGUUGUCCGGAUUUAUUGGGCGUAAAGCGAGCGCAGGCGGUUUCUUAAGUCUGAUGUGAAAGCCUUCGGCUCAACCGAAGAAGUGCAUCGGAAACUGGGAAACUUGAGUGCAGAAGAGGACAGUGGAACUCCAUGUGUAGCGGUGAAAUGCGUAGAUAUAUGGAAGAACACCAGUGGCGAAGGCGGCUGUCUGGUCUGUAACUGACGCUGAGGCUCGAAAGCAUGGGUAGCAAACAGGAUUAGAUACCCUGGUAGUCCAUGCCGUAAACGAUGAGUGCUAGGUGUUGGAGGGUUUCCGCCCUUCAGUGCCGCAGCUAACGCAUUAAGCACUCCGCCUGGGGAGUACGACCGCAAGGUUGAAACUCAAAGGAAUUGACGGGGGCCCGCACAAGCGGUGGAGCAUGUGGUUUAAUUCGAAGCAACGCGAAGAACCUUACCAGGUCUUGACAUCCUUUGACCACUCUAGAGAUAGAGCUUUCCCUUCGGGGACAAAGUGACAGGGGGUGCAGGGUUGUCGUCAGCUCCUGCCGUGAAAUGUUGGGUUAAGUCCCGCAACGAGCGCACCCUUAUUAC
This 1103-nucleotide ribosomal RNA is filed under the name Latilactobacillus sakei. RNAcentral's name for it is "bacterial SSU rRNA". It matches the Rfam family "Bacterial small subunit ribosomal RNA", at positions 49 to 1111 of the family's 1533-position model. Lineage: Bacteria; Bacillati; Bacillota; Bacilli; Lactobacillales; Lactobacillaceae. The record is from RNAcentral.